RNAcentral lists this long non-coding RNA (1305 nucleotides) under Homo sapiens (human). Its description in RNAcentral is "HSALNT0403575". The record is from RNAcentral. Lineage: Eukaryota; Metazoa; Chordata; Mammalia; Primates; Hominidae.
UUCUGAUUUGCAUUUCUCUAAUGAUCAGUGAUGUUGAGAUUUCUUUUUCAUGUGAUUGUUGGUUGCAUGUAUACCUUCUUUGGUUCUUUUGGUUUUAUAUGAAUUUUGAAAUAAAUUUUGGACAAUUUGUUUAUACUGUGUGUGUGUCCAGUUGUGAUUGGAAUAUAUUGUAGAAACUCAAGUAAAUAUCUUCUAAUGACUCAAUGAAUUGAUUUAUUUGGGAUGCUUUAUAAAAAGUAUAACUUUUUCCUAAUGCAGAAUGUCCUAGUAGAAAUAAAAAAAUACAGUAUAUCAAUAAUUCCUAGCAUUCCCAAGGAAGGAAACAAGUAAUCGUAUUAAGUAAAAUGAUAAAAUAAUACAAGUCUUAAUGUUGAUGCCCAACAUCAAGCCAUUUUUAAGAAUCACAAGCAGUGCAGCAGUAUUAUUGCUGAUGCUUUAAAGCUGAGCCAUAUUUUCUUAGAUAUUUAUAGGAUGGCUUUGUAGGUAAAAUACAGGAGUAAAUACCUGUGCUAGGUUGUUUUAUCGUGCAGUUAUUCAUUCUUCCUUUCCUGUAAGAAAAUUAUACAUUGUUGCUCAUUGACAUCAGGCUUAAGGGGCCCCUUAUGGACAGAAUAUAUAUUCUCUGCUCCAUUGAUGUUUGACCUGACUAUGUGAUGUGCUUUAGUCAAUGGAAUAAAUGUAGGCACGAUGUAUACUGUUUUUGAGAAGAAACUUUAAAAGGUACUAAUGAAAUUUCUUUGCCUGUUUGUUUCUGCCUUCUGUAUGGGUCCUGGAAUAAAAAUAUAUGGAUGAGGAUUGCAGCUGACUUCAGCCUACAUGCAGUUUGAAUAUGAAACAGAUUCCAUACCCCUUCAGGAGGCACACGUUAUCUUCUGUGGCCUGACUCCUACCAUAUCAGUGUACUGUCACCCAGAAAACUGUUAUAGAAGAUGUCCGAGCAUAUGGAAAAGAACCUUGAACAUGGAACAAGGAGACACGGGUUCAGCCUCUGGGCAAAUAAUUGAACUGGCACAACAAAGAAAAAGAUGUCGGAAAUUGUUCAUCAAAAAACUGAGUGCUUAUCUAUGAAUCAACUGCCCUACUUGCCCACGUCUUCCUCCUGCGAUGAACUCAGGCACUGGUACGCAGUAUAGACAUGGUACAGAGGAUUGUCUCAGAGAGGUUGUGCUGUUCUUUUCCCUACUUCACCCUCCCGAGUUGUGCCAUCUUGGUCAUGUUGCUUAACUUACCUGUUUCAGUUUUUCCAACUGUAAAAUAUGGAUGAUAAACUUGCCUAUCUAUCUCAUGGAGCUGUCAUGGAAAUAU